GUACAGAUGUGGGCACAUGUGCACAUGUUCAAAAUGUGCGAAUGAGUUGGUCCACAAAGGAGAAAAGUGUCCAAUGUGCAGGGCACCUGUAAUUGAGGUCAUCCGUGCUUACUCCAUCUUAUAAUUUGAUGAUUGAAAAGAAGAAUGGAGGAUUUAAAAGAAAAGAAAUUUGGUUCACAAAAUAGAGCCAUUUCAGAUCAUGCUCUAGGUUCUGGCCAGGUAUUUAUUAUUUCCUGGAUUCUUCAUAUGUAUUGAUUGUAUGAUUGACUAUACAAUGGGAUUUUUCGAUUUGUCGUUUUAAUGUGAAUAAAGAUUUUGAGUGGAAGAAUCAUAUUGGUGUUAGCGACAAGAAAGUUUUUGAAGGCAACUUUUUCCUGAGAUGAUGUACGAAGGUUAUAUAUGACUUGUGACCAUUUUCUGAUCCCGGACAGCUGCCACUUCAAGUGGGGUAAAUAGCAAUAAGCUUUUUGCACAGCCAUGUAAAGUUUAUUUUAUCAAUUUAUGGCAACUUGCUUAACUUGUUGAUUGUUUUAAUUAACAUCUUGUAACGUCUGAAAUUGCACUUAUCUCACUCUAUUGCUUCAAUGAUUGGGAGACAUGAAACAGAUGGAAAAGGCUACACUUUAGAUUCCACAUCAUAGGACUUACAAUAUUGACACGUUAUGGUAAAAUUCAA
This 676-nucleotide unclassified non-coding RNA is filed under the name Hevea brasiliensis (rubber tree). The record is from RNAcentral. Lineage: Eukaryota; Viridiplantae; Streptophyta; Magnoliopsida; Malpighiales; Euphorbiaceae.